RNAcentral lists this long non-coding RNA (403 nucleotides) under Phoenix dactylifera (date palm). RNAcentral's name for it is "long non-coding RNA (PDAC_LNC000321)". The record is from RNAcentral. Lineage: Eukaryota; Viridiplantae; Streptophyta; Magnoliopsida; Arecales; Arecaceae.
UGGAUGAUGACCACCACCAUAUUGAUAUUGACAGGCACUGAAGGCAGCAAGUUGGAAUUCCUCCUCAAAUAUAUAAACACUGCCUCCCCUGUCACUGAUGAGACUUUCAAGUCCUCACGCCAUGCACUACAUCCAAUGUCUCGAGUCUGGAGCCCCUUUUUUUCUCAUCCUCUGUCCAUAAGCUCCACAGAUGGCAUCAUCACGAGCCGUGACCCCGUAAACGAUGCAACCCGGCGGUCUCUUUCUCCUAGUCUUCUCAAAAGACUUGAUCAGUGGCACAUGUUUCCACCCUUGGCUUGGUCGGCCUGGCAACUUCGUCACCUUAGCCAUUAGUUCUGUUCCCACGCCUCUUCUUUGUUCUCUUGUGCUUUAGUUUUUCCUUAUCUUCUUUACAUCAUCCCAU